This 263-nucleotide unclassified non-coding RNA is filed under the name plant metagenome. RNAcentral's name for it is "partial contains small subunit ribosomal RNA, internal transcribed spacer 1, and 5.8S ribosomal RNA". The stretch from base 1 to 54 matches the Rfam family "Eukaryotic small subunit ribosomal RNA", at positions 1778 to 1831 of the family's 1831-position model. The record is from RNAcentral.
GGAAGUAAAAGUCGUUACAAGGUUUCCGUAGGUGAACCUGCGGAAGGAUCAUUAUUGAAUGAAACACUUCUGGCUUUAUGCUGUUGUGCUGGCCCUUUGGGCAAUGUGCACACGGCUCUGGUCACUUGUUUCUUCUGUUCCACCUGUGCACUGCCUGUAGACACGCUGUGUCUAUGAUAUUUGUUAACACACAACAAUGUUAGUUGGCAUGUUAUAUAUAAUAAUAAAAUAUACAACUCUCAACAACGGAUCUCUUGGCUCUC